UAUGAAGUUUGUGACGCACUGUGU
RNAcentral lists this non-coding RNA (24 nucleotides) under Arabidopsis thaliana (thale cress). Lineage: Eukaryota; Viridiplantae; Streptophyta; Magnoliopsida; Brassicales; Brassicaceae. The record is from RNAcentral.